This 267-nucleotide signal recognition particle RNA is filed under the name Alkalicoccobacillus gibsonii. RNAcentral describes it as "signal recognition particle sRNA large type". It matches the Rfam family "Bacterial large signal recognition particle RNA". From Rfam's summary of the family: The signal recognition particle (SRP) is a universally conserved ribonucleoprotein involved in the co-translational targeting of proteins to membranes. Archaeal SRP consists of a 7S RNA and homologues of the eukaryotic SRP19 and SRP54 proteins. The record is from RNAcentral. RNAcentral also lists the same sequence under 2 other names. Lineage: Bacteria; Bacillati; Bacillota; Bacilli; Caryophanales; Bacillaceae.
CCGUGCUAGGUGGGGAGGUAGCGGUGCCCUGUCACUCGCAAUCCGCUAGAGCGAGACUGAAUCCCUUUCCUAGGUUAUAUCAUCUUUUGGCCUGCCCUAAGUAAGUAGUGUUGACGUUUGGGUUCUGCGCAACGGAAACUCAUGAAUCCUGUCAGGUCCGGAAGGAAGCAGCAGUAAGUGAAUCCUUUCGUGUGCCGCAGAGUUGCCUGGACCGAGCCAACUGCUUAGGUAACGCAUGGGAUGGUAUGAUCAAAGAAAGGUGCACGG